UUGAACGCUGGCGGCAGGCCUAGCACAUGCAAGUCGAGCGCGAAAGUUCUUCGGAAUGAGUAAAGCGGCGGACGGGUGAGUAACGCGUGGGAAUCUGCCUAGUAGUGGGGGACAACAGCCGGAAACGGCUGCUAAUAUCGCAUACGCCCUACGGGGAAAAGGGGGGGCUCUUCGGACCUCUCGCUAUUAGAUGAGCCCGCGUCGGAUUAGCUAGUGGGUAGGGUAAAGGCCUACCAAGGCUACGAUCCGUAACUGGUCUGGGAGGAUGAUCAGUCACACUGGAACUGAGACACGGUCCAGACUCCUACGGGAGGCAGCAGUGGGGAAUAUUGGACAAUGGGGGCAACCCUGAUCCAGCCAUGCCGCGUGUGUGAAGAAGGCCUUAGGGUUGUAAAGCACUUUCAGUGGGGAGAAAGGUUUGUCACCUAAUACGUGAUGAAAUUGAUGUUACCCACAGAAGAAGCACCGGCUAACUCCGUGCCAGCCGCCGCCGUAA
Molecule: ribosomal RNA, 496 nt
Filed under: uncultured bacterium
Lineage: Bacteria
Description: partial 16S ribosomal RNA
Rfam family: Bacterial small subunit ribosomal RNA
Source: RNAcentral